Long non-coding RNA from Alosa sapidissima (American shad), 178 nucleotides. RefSeq lists it as uncharacterized. NCBI's taxonomy places the organism in Eukaryota, Metazoa, Chordata, Actinopteri, Clupeiformes, Clupeidae. The transcript is spliced from 3 exons. The record is from RefSeq and is a predicted model, not a curated record.
CUCGAUUCCAACCCGGUUCCUGGCAAUGCAGUGCAGCAUCAAGCGGAAGGGGUGCAUGCAUGCUAGAGGUUUUGAGGAAGAAAUUCAGGAGUCAAUCAGUGGAAGAAAUGUCAGUGCAUGUUCUGGUGCGACCAGUUCCCCCAAAUGAGGUACCCAUUGGCCGCCAAAAUGUUCAAGA